Molecule: ribosomal RNA, 901 nt
Filed under: uncultured organism
Description: bacterial SSU rRNA
Rfam family: Bacterial small subunit ribosomal RNA
Source: RNAcentral
CGGCAGGCCUAACACAUGCAAGUCGAGGGGUAAGGUCAGCUUGCUGAACACACGACCGGCGCACGGGUGAGUAUCGCGUUUGCAAUCUACCUCUAACUGGAGGAUAGCCCGAAGAAAUUCGGAUUAAUACUCCAUAAAGUCAUAAUUUCGCAUGUUAUUAUGAUUAAAGCUCCGGCGGUUAGAGAUGAGCAUGCGUGUCAUUAGCUUGUUGGUGAGGUAACAGCUCACCAAGGCAACGAUGACUAGGGGUUCUGAGAGGAUGAUCCCCCACACUGGUACUGAGACACGGACCAGACUCCUACGGGAGGCAGCAGUGAGGAAUAUUGGGCAAUGGGCGAAAGCCUGACCCAGCCAUGCCGCGUGCAGGAUGACUGCCCUAUGGGUUGUAAACUGCUUUUAUACGGGAAGAAUGGUUCCUACGUGUAGGGAUUUGACGGUACCGUAAGAAUAAGCAUCGGCUAACUCCGUGCCAGCAGCCGCGGUAAUACGGAGGAUGCAAGCGUUAUCCGGAUUCAUUGGGUUUAAAGGGUGCGCAGGCGGAAUAUUAAGUCAGUGGUGAAAUCCUGCAGCUUAACUGUAGAACUGCCAUUGAUACUGAUAUUCUUGAAUGUAGUUGAGGUGGGCGGAAUGUGUAAUGUAGCGGUGAAAUGCAUAGAUAUUACACAGAACACCGAUUGCGAAGGCAGCUCACUAAACUAACAUUGACGCUGAGGCACGAAAGCGUGGGGAGCGAACAGGAUUAGAUACCCUGGUAGUCCACGCUGUAAACUAUGAUCACUCGCUGUUGGCAAUACAUCGUCAGCGGCUGAGCGAAAGCAUUACGUUGAUCCACCUGGGGAUUAACGAUCGCAAGAUUGAAACUCAGAGGAAUUGACGGGGGGCCCGCACAAAGCGGAGGAAC